Molecule: ribosomal RNA, 804 nt
Filed under: uncultured bacterium
Lineage: Bacteria
Description: bacterial SSU rRNA
Rfam family: Bacterial small subunit ribosomal RNA
Source: RNAcentral
AGAGUUUGAUCAUGGCUCAGAACGAACGCUGGCGGCGUGCCUAACACAUGCAAGUUGAACGAGAAAGGGCUUCGGUUUGAGUAAAGUGGCGCACGGGUGAGUAACGCGUGGGUAAUCUGCCUUCAGGCGGGGGAUAACGGUUCGAAAGAGCCGCUAAUACCGCGUAAGACCACGUCCUCGCGGGGGUGUGGGAAAAGAUGGGGAUCUUCGGACCUGUCACCUGGAGAUGAGCCCGCGUACCAUUAGGUAGUUGGUGGGGUAAAGGCCUACCAAGCCGAAGAUGGUUAGCUGGUCUGAGAGGAUGAUCAGCCACACUGGAACUGAGACACGGUCCAGACUCCUACGGGAGGCAGCAGUGGGGAAUAUUGCGCAAUGGGGGCAACCCUGACGCAGCAACGCCGCGUGUGUGAUGAAGGCCCUCGGGUCGUAAAGCACUGUGAGGUGGAACGAGCCGCCGAGGGUGAAUAUCCUUCGGCCCGACGGUACCACCAGAGGAAGCACCGGCUAACCCUGUGCCAGCAGCCGCGGUAAUACAGGGGGUGCAAGCGUUGUUCGGAAUUAUUGGGCGUAAAGCGCGUGUAGGCGGACCGUUAAGUCUGGAGUGAAAUCCCUCGGCUCAACCGAGGACGUGCUUCGGAUACUGGCGGUCUUGAGUUUUGGAGAGGGUAGCGGAAUUCCCAGUGUAGAGGUGAAAUUCGUAGAUAUUGGGAGGAACACCGGUGGCGAAGGCGGCUACCUGGACAGUGACUGACGCUGAGACGCGAAAGCAUGGGUAGCAAACAGGAUUAGAUACCCUAGUAGUCC